RNAcentral lists this long non-coding RNA (205 nucleotides) under Elaeis guineensis (African oil palm). RNAcentral's name for it is "long non-coding RNA (EGUI_LNC005120)". Lineage: Eukaryota; Viridiplantae; Streptophyta; Magnoliopsida; Arecales; Arecaceae. The record is from RNAcentral.
CCUGGAUCAUAGUCGGGUAAAAGGAAGAAAGCAUGUCGGUCACCCACCGACUCUUCAUGAUCUCCCGAUCGGUCGGGAGGAUGGUCGCUUGACACAACAUUCUGGCCAAAUUAUGGUUGGCCAAGGCCGACGCUCCUUCGGGCAGCUAAACGUCGGACGAUGCGGCGUGGCCUGCCGACUUGGUGUCGUCGCUCGGAGCCAUCGG